CUAAGACCCGACCGGCCUCUGGGGCAGUGUUUGGUGAAGUUAUCUCUGGAGGCUGCUGGAGGAUAAAUGUGGAGAUCUGCAGAUAGAAGCCAAGAAGAUGAACGGAGCUGGAGAGGAAGAAGAUCUACAGUGGUGUUCAAAAUAAUAGCAGUCCCACAUCACUUUAUCAGGACCGUCAGUGUUGAUUUAACUUAUUUCUAAAACAGCGGCGGACUACUUCCAGCUGCGGAGGGACACCCUUUUCCAGCUAGCUGCAAUCUGACGCAGUGACGCAGCAGAGUGCAACUGACCAGGGCGGAGGGAUACGUCAUUCUGCUGGGAGAAGAGACACAGCGAGGAGGUAAGUUAUCUUCUGAAAGUGCUUUUGAGUUUUUGUUGAUAAAAUUUAAUAACAAUGGCAGUUUCUUCUGUGAUAAAAUGGAAUAAAAUCAGCACAUUGACAGAGCUUUGCGAA
Amphiprion ocellaris (clown anemonefish) is the source of this 454-nucleotide long non-coding RNA. RefSeq lists it as uncharacterized. The record is from RefSeq and is a predicted model, not a curated record. Lineage: Eukaryota; Metazoa; Chordata; Actinopteri; Pomacentridae. The transcript has 2 exons.